CCUACGGGAGGCAGCAGUGAGGAAUAUUGGUCAAUGGACGAGAGUCUGAACCAGCCAAGUAGCGUGAAGGAUGACUGCCCUAUGGGUUGUAAACUUCUUUUAUAAAGGAAUAAAACGAGGCACGUGUGCCUUUUUGCAUGUACUUUAUGAAUAAGGAUCGGCUAACUCCGUGCCAGCAGCCGCGGUAAUACGGAGGAUCCGAGCGUUAUCCGGAUUUAUUGGGUUUAAAGGGAGCGUAGAUGGGUUGUUAAGUCAGUUGUGAAAGUUUGCGGCUCAACCGUAAAAUUGCAAUUGAUACUGGAAGUCUUGAGUACAGUUGAGGUAGGCGGAAUUCGUGGGGUAGCGGUGAAAUGCUUAGAUAUCACGAAGAACCCCGAUUGCGAAGGCAGCUUACUAAACUGUGACUGACAUUGAUGCUCGAAAGUGUGGGUAUCAAACAGGAUUAGAUACCCGAGUAGUC
RNAcentral lists this ribosomal RNA (460 nucleotides) under uncultured bacterium. Its description in RNAcentral is "partial 16S ribosomal RNA". It matches the Rfam family "Bacterial small subunit ribosomal RNA", at positions 338 to 795 of the family's 1533-position model. The record is from RNAcentral.